Molecule: ribosomal RNA, 481 nt
Filed under: uncultured bacterium
Lineage: Bacteria
Description: partial 16S ribosomal RNA
Rfam family: Bacterial small subunit ribosomal RNA
Source: RNAcentral
AUUGAACGCUGGCGGCAGGCCUAACACAUGCAAGUCGAGCGCGAAAGUUCUUCGCUAUGUGUAAAGCGGCGGACGGGUAAGUAAUGCAUGGGAAUUUGCCUGGUAGUGGGGGACAACGUCUCGAACGGGACGCUAAUACCGCAUUAGCCCUACGGAGGCAAGGGGGGGUUCUUCGGACCUCUCGCUAUCAGCUGAGCCCAUGUCAGUUUGGCUCGUUGGUGGGGUAAGGGCCUACCAAGGCGACGAUCGGUAACUGGUCUGAGCGGAGGAUCAGUCGCACUAGAACGGGAACACGGUCCAUACUCCUACGAGAGGCAGCAGUGGGGAAUAGUGGACAAUGGUCGAGAGCCUUGUCCAGCGAGGGCGAGUGUGUUGAGAAGGCCUUGGGGUUGUAAAGCACGUUCAGUGGUGAUAAAGGUUUUUUACUUGAUACGUAGGCAGAGUGAUGGUACCUGCAGAAGAAGCACCGGCUAACUCCGUG